RNAcentral lists this ribosomal RNA (1042 nucleotides) under Staphylococcus aureus. RNAcentral's name for it is "partial 23S ribosomal RNA". It matches the Rfam family "Bacterial large subunit ribosomal RNA", at positions 260 to 1305 of the family's 2925-position model. Lineage: Bacteria; Bacillati; Bacillota; Bacilli; Caryophanales; Staphylococcaceae. The record is from RNAcentral.
GGGAAGAGCCCAAACCAAAAAGCUUGCUUGUUGGGGUUGUAGGACACUCUAUACGGAGUUACAAAGGACGACAUUAGACGAAUCAUCUGGAAAGAUGAAUCAAAGAAGGUAAUAAUCCUGUAGUCGAAAAUGUUGUCUCUCUUGAGUGGAUCCUGAGUACGACGGAGCACGUGAAAUUCCGUCGGAAUCUGGGAGGACCAUCUCCUAAGGCUAAAUACUCUCUAGUGACCGAUAGUGAACCAGUACCGUGAGGGAAAGGUGAAAAGCACCCCGGAAGGGGAGUGAAAUAGAACCUGAAACCGUGUGCUUACAAGUAGUCAGAGCCCGUUAAUGGGUGAUGGCGUGCCUUUUGUAGAAUGAACCGGCGAGUUACGAUUUGAUGCAAGGUUAAGCAGUAAAUGUGGAGCCGUAGCGAAAGCGAGUCUGAAUAGGGCGUUUAGUAUUUGGUCGUAGACCCGAAACCAGGUGAUCUACCCUUGGUCAGGUUGAAGUUCAGGUAACACUGAAUGGAGGACCGAACCGACUUACGUUGAAAAGUGAGCGGAUGAACUGAGGGUAGCGGAGAAAUUCCAAUCGAACCUGGAGAUAGCUGGUUCUCUCCGAAAUAGCUUUAGGGCUAGCCUCAAGUGAUGAUUAUUGGAGGUAGAGCACUGUUUGGACGAGGGGCCCCUCUCGGGUUACCGAAUUCAGACAAACUCCGAAUGCCAAUUAAUUUAACUUGGGAGUCAGAACAUGGGUGAUAAGGUCCGUGUUCGAAAGGGAAACAGCCCAGACCACCAGCUAAGGUCCCAAAAUAUAUGUUAAGUGGAAAAGGAUGUGGCGUUGCCCAGACAACUAGGAUGUUGGCUUAGAAGCAGCCAUCAUUUAAAGAGUGCGUAAUAGCUCACUAGUCGAGUGACACUGCGCCGAAAAUGUACCGGGGCUAAACAUAUUACCGAAGCUGUGGAUUGUCCUUUGGACAAUGGUAGGAGAGCGUUCUAAGGGCGUUGAAGCAUGAUCGUAAGGACAUGUGGAGCGCUUAGAAGUGAGAAUGCCGGUGUGA